GAUGGAGGAUUUAAAAGGUUUGCCGCUGACUGUCUUUGCGAACUGGCACCUUUUCUAACUGUGCCUCUUUCAUGUCUGCCUGCAGGUGAUGUGGCCCCCUACUUCAAAACGGAGCCGGGACCUCCAGAGAUCCACCUAGAAGGGAACCGUCUGGUCAUGACCUGCCUGGCGGAGGGCAGCUGGCCUCUGGAGUUCAAAUGGAUACUCAACAACACAGAUAUCACAGCCUUCUCCCCCGAGUACAAGUACACCAUCUCCUCUCUCCAACGCUCCAAUAUGGGCGUUUAUCAGUGUGUGGUGAGAAACAGGAUGGGCGCUCUGCUUCAGAGAAGAGCCGAGAUACAAGUGGCAUAUAUGGGAGACUUUCUCGACAAUGACCAAAGAAAGACAGUGACACAGGGCCGGGCCGCCAUCCUAAACUCCCCAGCAGUCAGUUGCUUCCCGCGGCCACAGGUGACAUGGUUCAGGGACGGUUACAAGAUCAUUCCAAGCAACAGAGUAGCCAUAACGUUGGAGAACCAGCUAGUGGUGCUCGCCACGGCCGCGGUGGACGCCGGGAGGUACUACGUACAGGCUGUUAAUGAGAAGAAUGGAGAAAACAAGACAAGCCCAUCCAUUUACCUGAAUGUGGCAGAUUCAGAGGCCCCCGCGGACCCUGUGGCUCCAGUGAUUGUAAUCCCACCCCGAAACACUACAGUGGUGGCCGGGGUCAGUGAGGCCACACUGGAGUGUGUUGCUAAUGCACGUCCGGUUGAGAAGCUCAGUUUGGUGUGGCGGAGAAACUCUGUGGAAGUGGCCAGUGGCGUGGGCUCCUUCGGCCGGCGCUUGACCAUCAUCAACCCAACGAGUGCCGAUGUGGGCAUGUACGUGUGCGAAGCCUCACUUUUGGACAGCAGCGUGAAACCGGCAGAGGCCAGAGCCUUCCUCUCCAUCACAGAGGCACCCUAUUUCACCGCUGAGCCCAGGAGAAAGAUGAUGGGAGAGGUGGAGAAAAGCGUGGAUAUCCAGUGCCAAGCUCGAGGGGUGCCCAUGCCGAAGCUGGAGUGGUAUAAGGAUGCCGUGCCCCUCAGUAAACUCAACAACCCUCGCUACAAGGUCAUUUCCAGCAUGGGGCUUCAGGUCAGGAAGCUACAGCCCAGCGAUGCCGGAAUCUUCCAGUGCUUCGCCAGGAACUCGGCCGGAGAGGCUCAGGUCCACACUUACCUGGACAUCACUAGUAUGGCUCCGGGCUUCACCGCGGCACCGGUCGACAUCACUGUCACAGAUGGAGCGGUGGCCAUGUUCACCUGUCAGGUAUCUGGGGCCCCUAAACCUGCCAUCACAUGGAAGAGAGGUAAAAUCCUUGCCAGCGGUUCGGUGCAAAUUCCACGUUUCACCCUGCUGGAGUCCGGCGGUCUGCAGAUUCAACCGGUGGUGCUGCAGUACACGGGGAUGUACACCUGCUACGCCGCUAACUCAGAAAGAGUAAUCAACGCCAGCGCCUCCCUCACCGUAUGGAGUCGCACGUCCAUAUCCAGGCCUCCCAUGGACAGACGUGUCAUUAAGGGGACCACAGCCAUUUUGGAGUGCGCCGCCACCCACGACCCGCGUGUGGCAGUGAGGUACGUGUGGAAAAAGGAUGAGGAGUUAGUGAGCCAGACCAGAGGGGGGCGUAUCACCCUGCAGGAGGGCUCCUUGCACAUCAGUCAAACCUGGUCCGGGGACAUCGGGGACUAUACCUGUGACGUCAUCUCUCAAGCCGGCAACGACUCCAAGGCGGCCCGUCUGGAGGUCAUAGAGCUGCCACAUUCGCCCCGAAACCUACAGGCCAGCCUGAACGCCAACGACAGCCGCAGCGUGGAUCUGUCCUGGAUGAGACCCUUCGAUGGAAACAGCCCCCUACUGCAUUAUGUGGUGGAGCUUUCAGAGAACAAUUCUCCCUGGAGAGUGUAUUUGCCUGAUGUGGACCCCACCGUGACUGGAGCCAUGGUGAAGGGCCUGACUCCGGCCCGCUCGUACCAGUUCAGAGUUUGCGCAGUCAAUCAGGUUGGCAAGGGACAGUACAGCACCGAAACCAACAGAUUGACGCUGCGAGAGGAACCGCCCAGCGCUCCGCCCAAGAACAUCGUAGCCAGCGGCAGAACCAACCAAUCCAUUAUGGUGCAGUGGCAGCCACCUCCGGAGCCUCAGCUCAAUGGAGUCUUGAGAGGCUACGUCCUCAGGUACCGGCUCGCCGGGCUCCCUGGAGAGUACCAGCAGAAGAACAUCACCAGCCCUGAGAUCAACUACUGCCUGAUCACAGAGCUCAUCAUCUGGACCCAGUAUGAGAUUCAGGUGGCCGCGUAUACCGGGGCAGGCCUGGGCGUCUUCAGUCAGCCUGUCACUGAGUACACGCUACAGGGAGUUCCCACAGCUCCCCCUCAGGGUGUGGAGGUCAAGGCAGUAAACUCAACCACAAUUGAAUUUACCUGGAAUCCACCGCCUCAGCAGUUCAUCAAUGGCAUUAAUCAAGGUUACAAGCUGAUGGCGUGGCCUGAACGAUCUCCAGAGGAUGUUAUCAUCGUGACCAUCACCCCUGAUUAUCACGGGACACGCCACCUCGGUUACAUCAGCGGUCUAAAAAAGUUCACCUGGUACUUGACGUCAGUGCUGUGUUUUACCACACCAGGGAAUGGACCCCGCAGUGUCCCCAAACUGGUGCAGACUCACGAGGACAUUCCAGGCCCUGUUGGUCGCUUGAGCUUUACAGAGAUUUUGGACACGUCUCUGAGAGUGAGCUGGGAGGAACCCGUGGACAAGAACGGCAUUGUUACUGGUUACCUGGUGUCCUGGGAAGUUCAGGGGAAGAACCAAUCGCGAGUGGCGCGUACUUUGACCAACUCCACGUUGGACUACAAGGUCACCGGUCUGACGUCCCUCACUACGUACACGCUAGAGGUGGCAGCUAUGACGGAGGCGGGCGUAGGAACUGUAACUUCCUCCACCAUUUCAUCCGGAGUGCCACCAGAACUUCCCGGGCCUCCAUCAAAUUUGGUUAUUUCCAAGAUCAGUUCACGAUCUGCUACGCUGAAGUUCCGUGCAGGGGAUGAUGGGAAGACGACCAUCUCCAAGUGGAUCGUUGAGGGGCAGGUUGGCAGUAUCGGUGAAGAGGAAGAGUGGAAGGUGUUGUACGUGAAAGAGAAUGACCCUGAAGCUCAGGUGCUGGAGGUGCCCAAUCUCACACCGUUCACACACUACAGGUUCCGAAUGCGUCAGGUGAAUAUUGUGGGCCCGAGUCCGGUGAGCGUGCCGUCCCGUGUAAUUCAAACCCUGCAGGCUCCUCCAGACAAGGCGCCCAGCAGUGUGACGGUGCGCACGGCCAGUGAGACCAGCCUCUGGCUACGCUGGGUGCCACUGCCGGAGACUGAGUACAAUGGAAACCCGGAGAGCGUGGGCUACAGGGUCAGAGUGUUGCGAGCGGACCUGCGGGGUGAGGCCAGCACACGAUUGGUGAACGACAGACUGGAGAGGGAGAUCACCCUGGAGGGUCUGGAGGAGUGGACCGAAUACCAGCUGCAGAUCCAGGCCUUUAAUUCCAUAGGCCCCGGGCCCUGGAGUGAGCCUUUGAAGGGACGUACGCGUGAGUCAGUGCCAUCGGGGGCUCCGGAAAAUGUGACGGUGGAGGCCAUGAGCUCCAGUCGCAUCCUGGUAACCUGGGGCUCGGUUCCUGAGCAUGAGCAGAAUGGCAACAUCCUCGGAUAUAAGGUUAUGUACAAAGAGAAAGACUCAGAUUCGGAGGCACAGGUGAAUGUGGUUAAAGGCAACCUGACACAGUCUGUCUUACUGAGGAACCUGCGUAAAUACGUCCAGUAUGAAAUCCAAGUUUUGGCUUUCACACGAAUUGGAGAUGGGCAGCUCAGCAGCCCCCCAGUCUUGGAGAGGACCAAGGAUGAUGUUCCCGGACCACCUAUGAGACUUGUGUUCCCGGAGGUGCGUCUCACAGAAGUGAGGGUGGUCUGGCAACCCCCUGUGGACCCCAAUGGCAUAAUUAUGGGAUACCAGGUAGCUUACCGUCUGGAUUCUGGGGAUCCCAACCAGUUCAUCACAGUAGAGGUGGGCCCUGAUACCCGUCAGUUCACCGCCUCCAACUUGACCCCGGAGUCGGCCUACAUCUUUCGCAUCUCUGCCAAGACGGAGCAGGGCUGGGGAGCACCUGCACAGGCUGUGGUCAUAACUACUGAGAUCAGAGAGCGACCGCAGCCUCCACGGCAGCUGCGGGUGCCUCAGGACCACGUGCAGUCCCGCAAAUUGCAGCUCAACUGGGUGCCCGGAGGGGACGGCUCCUCUCCUGUCCGUUACUUCACCCUGCAGACACGGGAGCUGCCCAGAGGAGACUGGCUCACCCAUUCUUCUGCUAUAAGCCACAAUUAUACCUCCUGGGAAGUGGACAGGCUGAAACCCUUCACUUCAUACAAGCUCAGAAUGAUGGCGACUAAUGACGUCGGCGACAGCAAGUACAGCCAAGAGACGGAUGCAAUUACCACUUUACAAGAUGGUGAUGUGAAUGGGGUUCUGGUGGGCUAUCGGCUCUACUACCGCGAGCUGCAGUAUGACAGCGCACCGCAGGAGUCAAAGCGGGCCGUCAACAGCUCCUUGCUGCGCACCGAACUGACAGAGCUGCAGAAAUACAGACGCUAUGAAAUUGUGAUGACUGCCUACAACGUCAUUGGCGAAAGCCCUCCAAGUGCUCCAGUAGAGGUGUUUGUUGGAGAAGCAGCUCCCUCUGUGGCUCCUCAGAACAUCCAGAUCAACACUUUGUCAUCCACACAGCUGGAGGUGCAGUGGGAGCCGCCCCCUGCCGAGACCCAAAAUGGCAUUAUUCAGGGAUAUAAGAUUCUUUACUGGGAGAUGGACAAUCAGAAUGAAACAGAGAGAGUUAAGAUUCUCUUCCGGCCUGAAACCAACAUGAGACUGAAGAACCUGACCAGCUACACAUACUAUAUGGUCAAGCUGUCCGCCUUCAAUGCUGCUGGAGACGGUCCCUUCAGUGAGCCCAGGAGGGGGCGCACUCUUCAGGCAGCCCCCAGCGCUCCCAGCUUCAUCAGUUUCUCCGAGGUGACCAGCAGCACUCUGAACGUGUCCUGGGGUUUCCCGCUGUCCCCCAACGGUGUGGUGGAAGGCUACAGGGUGGUAUAUGAGCCCAGCGCCCCUAUUCAAGGUGUGACUAAAGUGGUAACGGUGGAUAUCCGUGGCAGCUGGCAGCGCUGGCUGAAGGUGCGUGACCUGACCAAGGGUGUAACCUAUUGCUUCCGCGUGCAGGCCAAGACUAUUGCCUACGGGCCUGAGGCAGAGGCCAACAUUACAGCGGGUCCUGUCAAAGGGUCUCCUGGAUCUCCUGUAGAAAUGUCAAUCUCAAAGACAGGAUCCAUGCUCAACAUCCACUGGACACCAGGAGAUACAGGAGCAGGACAUGUGACCGGCUAUGUGAUCGAGGCACGCCCAUCAGAUGAAGGGAUGUGGGAUACGUUUGUGCGGCACUUGCCUCCCACCAGCACCUCUCACUCAGUGAGUCUAGACCGCCUGCGGCAGGGUAUCAGCUACCAGUUCAGAGUGCUGGCCGUCAACGAGUUCGGCUACGGCGAGCCGAGUGCACCCUCUGCUGCCAUGUCAGGCCAACAUGACACCCCGUUUUAUGAGGAGUGGUGGUUUCUCAUCGUGCUGGCGUUGUGUGGCCUGAUUCUGCUGUUGCUGGUGGUUUUCGGUCUCGUCUUGCACGGACAGAACAGGAAGUACAAGAGCUGUGGAACAGACAGCGAGUGCGAAGAGGAGCCGAUCAAACACUCGUUCGUGAAUCACUACAUGAGCGACCCAUCAUACUUCAACUCGUGGAAGCGGCAGCAGAAGGGGCUGAAGCAGACGCUGGCCUGUUCCUAUGAUGAAUGUGCCAGCGGGGACACCGAAUCCUACUAUCAGACAGUGGUCACACAGCACAGCGUUGGCGGGGUCUACACCCCCGCCGGCCAGCCCGCACCAGGCUCACGGACUCCCGUCACAGGCUUCUCCUCGUUCGUGUGA
Molecule: long non-coding RNA, 6033 nt
Organism: Cyprinus carpio (common carp)
Lineage: Eukaryota; Metazoa; Chordata; Actinopteri; Cypriniformes; Cyprinidae
Source: Ensembl